GCGGUCAUAGCUCAGCUGGUUAGAGCACAAGAUUGUGAUUCUUGGGGUCGCGGGUUCGAAUCCCGUUGACCGCCCCA
RNAcentral lists this transfer RNA (77 nucleotides) under Lacunisphaera limnophila. RNAcentral describes it as "tRNA-His". It matches the Rfam family "tRNA". Rfam says of the family: Transfer RNA (tRNA) molecules are approximately 80 nucleotides in length. RNAcentral also lists the same sequence under 2 other names. Lineage: Bacteria; Pseudomonadati; Verrucomicrobiota; Opitutia; Opitutales; Opitutaceae. The record is from RNAcentral.